GGAGGUGUAGGGCGAUCUGGUGACGCUCCUGGUCUUCAAAACCAGCGUGGGGCUCAACAAAGUCUCAGGUGGGUUCGAUUCCCAUCCACCUCCGCCA
This 97-nucleotide transfer RNA is filed under the name Verrucomicrobiota bacterium. RNAcentral describes it as "Verrucomicrobia bacterium (groundwater metagenome) tRNA-Sec". It matches the Rfam family "Selenocysteine transfer RNA". The record is from RNAcentral. Lineage: Bacteria; Pseudomonadati; Verrucomicrobiota.